CAUAGUUAUCAUUUGACUUAGAGAUACUCAGUAAACAUUAUGAAUUUAGAGAUCAGUAAUGUUCAUUUUGAAAAAGACAUAUACUUGAUAAAAUUGCUUCUUGUACUUGUGAUGGUACUGUGGUUAAGAGUCUUGUGCUGUAAUGAUCUCAGUUAAAAAUAGUAAAAUGAAUCUCUUCAGUAUUGUGGUGGACUCUGCACAGUUAAUGCAACAGGAGUCAGGGUCACCUGCCCAUAUAGCUUUGUUUGUAUCAGCCAGUCGAAAUGUCAAGAUGGUUCCUUAUCCACUGGAUAAUUUCACAAUCCUCCUCUUAAUUUGGUUGCUUUGGACACAUUCUAUCCUGGAAACAAAAUCUAGGUUUCAUAAUACAUUCGGAAAUAAUAGAUUCAUGUUCUUUUUUUCCAGCUGGUACUGGUAGAGUUUACACAUUUACUCCUGCACCAUAGGAACAGCUGCUUAAAAAGCUGAAGUGUGUAUUUGAUUCCAUUACAUUGGCACAAUAGAAAGUCACGUAAAAGAUGGAGACUCUCAGUUUCUCCAUAUUUGGAAAAUUAAUUCCUUUAAGUGCGUUAAAAAAAUCUCUACAGGUGGUCACAUUCUAUGAACUUAGGACCAGAAAUGACCUCAUCACCUUCAGCUGGUCUAAAAGUUGUCUUUGGCUGCUGCACGCUUCACAAAAUCUUGUUAAUUAUGAUUGUUUUUCCUAGUUAUAAGUCCUUCUGGAUAAGUUUUUAUAAAGCAUUUAUUUUUAUCACUUACAUAACUACAUAAAAUAUUUUCAUUGGUGUCAAAAUGUCAUGUUAUUGCCAAACACAUUCCAUUUCAAUUUCUAGAAAUUAUUGGAAAGUUAAUACCCACACUUUAAUGGCACCCUUGCUGUAGUAUUAAAUCAUGCUUUACUGAAAUUCACAAGAAUCAUAAUUACACUGCAUUUAUCCAGAAUAAAGCACUAGAACAGUUACUUUUUGACCAUCUUGUCCGUUAAUUACUAUGCAUGCACUUUCUCUUUAGACAAACAAUAAACGAAAUUUAGUGUCUUUCUAGAACUGAGUUUUCAUGAAAGUGAUUGUCGUAUAUAUACUCAUCAUCUACUUCUCUUUUCAGCACAGUAAUAUUUUAGUUCAAGAAUCGGUAAGUGAAUCUUUUCCCUGGCUUAUAGAACUUCACCCUAUUUAUUUCUAUUUCAAGAAAAGUAAAAAAUAUUUUAAAAAGUAAAAUUAGGCAAGAAAGCUGUCUUGCUAGCUAGGCAUUUGGUUUCUCCUUAGAUUUGUUAUUUAAGAAAACUCAGUCUCCCUAGACAUCAUUUCAAGAAUAUAAUUGUUUAGCUGCAAAGCUAUAGUUUUGGGUAGAAAAUUCCCUUUGAGGGUUGCACAUUGAACCCAUAUUUAGAGAACCUGAGAAAUGAGCUUUCAGCAGUCAUCACAUUUACUCUUCUCCCCACAGCCUGGGGUGUCUGGAAGAACAUCCUCCACCAGGAACGCUGGAGGAUAACUAUAGGGCUGAGUCUGAUCCAGUUUGCCAGAAUAGGUCCAUCACCCUGAGGCCCUUUUUUGCCCAGGUCCUGCAUAUUCCAUGCUAUGGACUGAAUUACGUCCCUGUAAAAUUCGUAUUUUGAAGCCUUAACCCCCAAUGUCAUGGUAUUUGGAGAUGGGGUCUUUGGGAGAUAAUUAAGUUUAGAUGAGGUCAUGAGGCCAUGGCCUUACGAUGGGAUUAGUACUGUUAAAAGAAGUGGCACCAGAGAGCUUGCUGUGUGUCUCUUUUUCUGCCAUUGUGAGGACACAGGGAGAAGGCGGCCAUCUGCAAGCCGGAAAGAGGGAUCUAGCUCCAACCAUGCUGGUGCAUGAAGACUUCUGGCCUCCAUAACUGUGGAAAUAAAUGUCUGUUGUUGAGCCACUCAGUCUAUGGUAUUUUGUUAUUGCAGCAUGAGCUGAGGAUUGGAAUUGGCCCCCAACCUAACAAUGGUUCGGCUUAUGCUUUUUUGACUUUAUGAUGGUGCAAAAGUGAAAAGCAUUCAGUAGAAACUCUAAUUGGAGUGCCCAUACAGUCAUCCUGGUUUUUACUUUCAGUAUAGUAUUCAAAAAAUUGCAUGAGAUAUUCCACACCUUAUAAAAUAGGCUUUGUGUUAGGUAGUGUUGCCCAUCUGUAGGCUGAUGUAAGUAUUCUGAGCAUGUUUCAAGAAGGUUAGGCUAAGCCACGAUAUUCUGUAGAUUCGGUGUAUUAAAUGCAUUUUAAACUUAAGAUAUUUUCAAUUUAUGAUUAGUUUAUUGCGACAUAACCCCAUCACAAGUCAGGGUGUAUCUGUCCAUCCCCCAAGGACAAGAGACUUGGAGCCUGAGCACACAGGGAUGGUGCAAACUCGGAUGUUGAUCCAGGCAGUUCAGGAACACAUGUUUUAAAAUUGGAAUUGUUGCCUCAAUUUUCUCUUUCAGUGUGUAAAUAGAACCUCCAAAUAAGAUUAAAUUGAAGAGAAAGUAUUAAAGGGCAAUAUUCCAGUGGAAUCCAUGAACAGUUUGCUUGCACUGACUUGCUAAGGAAGGAAAAUUUUUAAAGUAGUCGUUAUUCUUAAGAAAGUUAAAUUUAUAGUUUAAGUUAUGGUAUAUUUUGUACUGGGCACUGUGCCUUCCUCAUAAUAUUCUUAUUAAAUAUUUGUUGAUUUAAGAUUUUUUUUACUUCAUCACAUGUAUUUAGCAAAGAGUAAAUUCUUGUAAAAGAAUUUUAUCAUAUCCUUGUGACAAAGCAUACUCCGUGCUAAAUGUGGUACUAAUUACUUGAGUGUGAAGGUGAAGAUUUUUCCUGGCAAAUUUGGAACAACGGCUUAAAAAAUAGGUACUACACAGCUAAAGAGUCUUUCUUUCCAGAUUCAACUCAUGUACCUACUAUCUUGCCUUUCCCUAAGCAUAUAUAUUUAAAUUCUAGAAACCACCACAUUCACUUAUUAAAGCCAAGCAUGUGUCUAAUAUUUAUUACACUACAUUUUUACUUUUAUGAAAUACUGCUUGGAACAAAUAGUCACCCAGGACAGAGGUCCCGAACCCCUGGACCAUGGACCGGUAUUCAUCUGUGGCCUGUUCGUAACUGGGCUGCACAGCAGGAAGUGAGUGGCAAGUAAAUGAGCAUUAGUGAGAUCGGCGGCGGCAUUAGACUCUCAUAAGAGUCCUAUGGUGAACUGCACGUGCGAGGGAUCUAGGUGGUGUGCUUCUUAUGAGACUCUAAUUAAUGCCUGAUGAUUUGAGGUGGAACAGUUUUAUCCUGAAACUAUCCCCUCUGCCUGCUGGCCAUGGAAAAACUUGUCUUUCACAAAAUUGGUCCUUGAUGCUAAAAAGGCUGGAGACCACUGAUCUAGGGCAUAGCUAGUUUUUGCCAUAGCUAUGUCAUAACUAGAUGUGUUGAGACAAAAUCUCACCUGUAGAUCUGAGUUGAGCAUAUGAGCCUAUUUCAUUGUGGUAGACAAUUCUGUCUGCCGUGGUCCUCCAAAGAUAUUCACAUCCUAAUCCCCAGAAUCUGUAAAUAUGAUACCUUACAUGGCAAAAGGGAGUUUGUACACAUGAUUAAGUUAAGGAUCUUGAUGUGGGGAGAUUAUCCUGGAUUAACCAGGUGGGUUCAAUGUCAUCAGAAGGCUCCUCCUAUGAGGGAGGAAGAAAGUCAGAAAUAAGAGUAGGAGAUAUGAUGUUUGAGCAGAGGAGAGAGAAAGAGACAGAGAGAUUUGAGGAUGAUAUGCUGCUGGUUUUGUUUUGAAGAUGAACGAAGGGGCCCUGAGCCAAGGAAUGCAGGCCACCUCUAGAAGCUGGAAAAGGCAAGGAAAUGGAUUCCCCCAAGAGCCUCCGGAAGGAACACAACCAUGCCAACCCGUUUUAGACUUCUGAUCUCCUGAACUAGGCUGCCACACUCAUCUAGGGGCUGCGUCUACUAAUUGAUGCAUGCAGAACUCAUUACUGCUGAUGGAAGCAAAAACAACAAGGCUGAGUGCCUUCAAUAGGUCAGAGGUUAGACACCCUCUGGCUCAACUUUACUGGCCAGACUUCAUUAGUCAUUGAAACACAAGUGGAAAGAAGAUAAAGAUCCCUGUUAUUUGAGAGCAAAUCUUCUGAAUAUCCAUUCCAUGAAACUCAGAUACCCUCUCCAGAGCUUGUUUUCCAGUUGACAUAUGAAUGGAGACUCCGUGAGGUCUGGAACUUUGUCUGUUUUAUCCACUGUUGGGAUCUCGUGCCCAGAACAGCAUCUUGCAGAGAAAAGGCACCUAAGGAACAUUUGUGGAAUGUAUGGAUGAACAUUAGUCAUAACCAACAAACAUUUAUAUGUCUAAUAUUUAUUCCCCCAUCCCUCCUUUUUUUCUUUAGAGAUGGGGUCUUGCUGUGCUGCUCAGGCUGGACUCAAACUCCUGGGCUAAGCUGAUCUUCCCAUCUUGGCCUUCCAAGAACACAAACCCCUGGUGUGAAUUUCACUUUCUGAGGAUCUGAUAUUAGUAAAGAAGUUAAUUUGGAAAAUGUUGGCUAUCUGAAGAAGACUGACAAAUCAUGAAUGACCUAAUUGGGUCUUGCUGUGUUGCCAGUGUUGCCCAGGCUGGAGUGCAG
Long non-coding RNA from Cercocebus atys (sooty mangabey), 4571 nucleotides. RefSeq lists it as uncharacterized. NCBI's taxonomy places the organism in Eukaryota, Metazoa, Chordata, Mammalia, Primates, Cercopithecidae. The transcript is spliced from 7 exons. The record is from RefSeq and is a predicted model, not a curated record.